UACGGGAGGCAGCAGGGGGGAAUAUUGCGCAAUGGGCGAAAGCCUGACGCAGCGACGCCGCGUGAGGGACGACGGCCUUCGGGUUGUAAACCUCUUUUCAGCUCUGACGAAGCGAAAGUGACGGUAGGAGCAGAAGAAGCACCGGCCAACUACGUGCCAGCAGCCGCGGUAAUACGUAGGGUGCAAGCGUUGUCCGGAAUUAUUGGGCGUAAAGAGCUCGUAGGCGGUCUGUCGCGUCGAAUGUGAAAACCCCGGGGCUCAACCCCGGGCCUGCAUUCGAUACGGGGCAGACUAGAGUUCGGUAGGGGAGACUGGAAUUCCUGGUGUAGCGGUGAAAUGCGCAGAUAUCAGGAGGAACACCGGUGGCGAAGGCGGGUCUCUGGGCCGAUACUGACGCUGAGGAGCGAAAGCGUGGGGAGCGAAACGAGGGAUUAGAUACCCGU
This 443-nucleotide ribosomal RNA is filed under the name uncultured bacterium. RNAcentral describes it as "bacterial SSU rRNA". It matches the Rfam family "Bacterial small subunit ribosomal RNA", at positions 340 to 789 of the family's 1533-position model. The record is from RNAcentral.